RNAcentral lists this unclassified non-coding RNA (157 nucleotides) under uncultured Hymenoscyphus. RNAcentral's name for it is "sequence contains ITS1". Lineage: Eukaryota; Fungi; Ascomycota; Leotiomycetes; Helotiales; Helotiaceae. The record is from RNAcentral.
CAGAGUUCCUGCCCUCACGGGUAGAAACCCCACCCUUGUAUAUACUAUUAUGUUGCUUUGACAGGUCGCCUCUAAGGCGUUGGCUCACGCUAACUGUACCUGUCAGAGGACCCUAAACUCUUGUUUACAGUGUCGUCUGAGUACUAUACAAUAGUUA